RNAcentral lists this transfer RNA (73 nucleotides) under Ovis aries (sheep). It matches the Rfam family "tRNA". Rfam says of the family: Transfer RNA (tRNA) molecules are approximately 80 nucleotides in length. Their secondary structure includes four short double-helical elements and three loops (D, anti-codon, and T loops). Lineage: Eukaryota; Metazoa; Chordata; Mammalia; Artiodactyla; Bovidae. The record is from Rfam by way of RNAcentral.
UCCCAGGUGGUCUAGUGGCUAAGGCUCUGCGCUCCCAAUGCAGGGGGCCCAGGUUCAACCCCUGGUUGGGGAA